AUUGAACGCUGGCGGCAUGCCUUACACAUGCAAGUCGAACGGUAACAGGUCUUCGGAUGCUGACGAGUGGCGAACGGGUGAGUAAUACAUCGGAACGUGCCCAGUAAUGGGGGAUAGCUCGGCGAAAGCCGGAUUAAUACCGCAUACGCCCUGAGGGGGAAAGUGGGGGACCGCAAGGCCUCACGUUAUUGGAGCGGCCGAUGGCUGAUUAGCUAGUUGGUGAGGUAAAGGCUCACCAAGGCGACGAUUAGUAGCUGGUCUGAGAGGACGACCAGCCACACUGGGACUGAGACACGGCCCAGACUCCUACGGGAGGCAGCAGUGGGGAAUUUUGGACAAUGGGCGAAAGCCUGAUCCAGCAAUGCCGCGUGUGCGAAGAAGGCCUUCGGGUUGUAAAGCACUUUUGUUUGGGAAGAAAAUGUUCGUGUUAAUACCAUGAGCAGAUGACGGUACCAAAAGAAUAAGCACCGGCUAACUACGUGCCAGCAGCCGCGGUAA
Molecule: ribosomal RNA, 498 nt
Filed under: uncultured bacterium
Lineage: Bacteria
Description: partial 16S ribosomal RNA
Rfam family: Bacterial small subunit ribosomal RNA
Source: RNAcentral